GCAGUCCUCAGAUCGGACGAGGUUUGUCCCUUCUUUUCCAGCACCUCCUGGAGACUUAGGGCCUCGACGAUCUUCUCCUCGAGGUGGGCGGCCCCAGCCAGGCGACCUUCCUCCGUCGGAGCUGCCUCCCUCUUAGCGAUCUUCACCGCCUCGACGUUGGCGACAAGCUGGUGUCCAAUCUGCAAGAAAGGUCGGGGAGUCAAUAUAAAGGCUAAAGAGUAAAUUAAGUAAAGAAGCAAGAAGGAGAAAAAAGUGAGUUAACCUACUUCGAGAAAAGUUCUUAGAGAGUCCC
This 292-nucleotide long non-coding RNA is filed under the name Elaeis guineensis (African oil palm). Its description in RNAcentral is "long non-coding RNA (EGUI_LNC055348)". Lineage: Eukaryota; Viridiplantae; Streptophyta; Magnoliopsida; Arecales; Arecaceae. The record is from RNAcentral.